RNAcentral lists this ribosomal RNA (1638 nucleotides) under Triticum aestivum (bread wheat). RNAcentral describes it as "partial small subunit ribosomal RNA". The record is from RNAcentral. Lineage: Eukaryota; Viridiplantae; Streptophyta; Magnoliopsida; Poales; Poaceae.
AUGAGGUACCUGAUUAUAAUUGAUGAUCUAUGGGAUACACCAUCAUGGGAUAUUAUUAAAAGUGCUUUCCCAGAUAAUGGUCUUGGUAGCAGAGUAAUAACAACUACAAGAAUACAGAAUGUGGCUAAGGCUUGUUGCUCCCCUUCCAGUUAUUAUAUUUUCAAAAUGAAGCCACUUAGCAAUAAAGACUCAAAAAGACUGUUUUUUGGUAGGAUAUUCAACUCUGAAGAAGCUUGCCCUCACCAGCUUCGAGAUGUUUCUACUGAAAUUCUCAAAAAAUGUGAUGGUUUGCCUCUUGCAAUCAUUACUAUAUCAGGCAUGCUAGCAAAUGAAAGUUUCGACCAAGAGGAGUGGAAACAUGUACGGAAUUCUCUAGGUUCGGGAACAAAUUUCACGUUGGAAGGGAUGAGGAAUAUCUUAGACCUCAGGUACAAAAACCUUCCUCCUCAUCUCAAGACAUGCUUGUUGUAUCUUGGCAUGUAUCCAGAGGACUUUGGAAUAGGGAGGUCUCAUUUGGAACUUCAGUGGAUCGCGGAAGGCUUUGUUCCUAAAGAGAACGGACAAGAUGCUGAGAAGGUUGCAAGAAGUUAUUUCAACGAGCUUGUCAAUAGGAGCCUUAUUCAACCUACAAAAUUUAACAAUCAAGGGUCAGCCGUGGAAUGCAAAGUACAUGAUAUGAUGCUCGAUCUUAUCUUGUCUAAGUGUAGAGAAGAGAAUUUUCUGACUGUAUUGGAUGAUGCUAAAGUCAUCGAAAAACUGGAUUACAAGGUCCUUCGGUUGUCUCUCCACUUGGAUGGUCCACGUGAUGGAACAAUGUUACCGUGUAAAGUUAGCAUGUCACAAAUUCGGUCAGUUAUGAUCUUUGGUGACUCGCACAGUAUGCCUCCUCUGCGAUUGUUCAAAUUCCUUCGAGUUCUUCAUGUCCAUGUAUAUGGGCCUGCUGAACUCGACCCCACUGGGCUGUGUAAGCUAUAUCAGCUAAGAUAUUUAGCGAUUAAUGGUUUCUGGGAUUCGUACAAGCUACCGGCAGAGAUCAGAGGGCUACGACACCUGGAGACACUUGAUGCACCUCAUAGUAGGAAUAUUCCAUCAGAUAUAGUUCAUCUGCCAUGCUUGAUGUUCUUGAAUCUCGAUUGGGAUAGAUAUCCACUACCUGAUGGGAUCAGUAGAAUGAAGUCGCUGCGAUGUGUAAGCGGAUUUGAUUUGAUGCUGAACUCACUAGAUAACAUCAAGGACCUGGGAGAGCUCACCAAUCUGACAGCUAUAAAAUUCAGCAUCAGCUCUUCUUUGGCUGACAGCAGUGAACGGAAGAGCCGCUUGGAUGCUCUGAACUCUUCUUUAGGAAGAUGUAUCAGCUUGAAAAUGCUGGUUUUGAAUAUUCCAGGCUGCAAUGAUGCCUUGAUGGCCUUGUCACCUCCUCCCCGCCGCCUUGAGAUACUCUAUGCUUAUGGCUUCUUCUUUUCAAGGGUCCCUAAUUGGAUGGGAGAACUCAGUAACCUGAAAGAAUUGAGCGUCACUGUCCUCGGGAGUGAUAUUGGUAUUCUAGCAGAGUUACCUGGCCUCACCCAUUUCUAUCUAUACAUCAAGGAAAUCCUAAAGAAACGAUUGUCAUCUAUGACAGGGUAUUCCCUGUUUUAA